RNAcentral lists this ribosomal RNA (500 nucleotides) under uncultured bacterium. RNAcentral describes it as "bacterial SSU rRNA". It matches the Rfam family "Bacterial small subunit ribosomal RNA", at positions 29 to 520 of the family's 1533-position model. The record is from RNAcentral.
AAUGAACGUUGGCGGCGUGGAUUAGGCAUGCAAGUCGAGCGAGAAUUUGCGAUUGGAAGCUUCGGCCGAAGAAAGUGAAGGAAGCGGCAAACGGCGUAGUAAGGCGUAGGUACGUACCCUCGGGUCGGGAAUAGCCAUGGGAAACUGUGGGUAAUGCCCGAUAAUCUCUGCGGAGCAAAGGUGUGAUUCCGCCGGAGGAGCGGCUUACGUGAUAUUAGCUAGUUGGUGGGGUAAUGGCCUACCAAGGCAACGAUGUCUAGGGGGUGUGAGAGCAUGGCCCCCCACGACCGGAACUGAGACACUGUCCGGACACCUACGGGUGGCUGCAGUCGAGAAUCUUCCGCAAUGGGCGAAAGCCUGACGGAGCGACGCCGCGUGGUGGAUGAAGGCCCUUGGGUUGUAAACACCUGUCAGAGGGGAUGAAAUCAUGGUUGGCAAUCCUUCCAUGUUGACAGAGCCUCAGAGGAAGCACGGGCUAAGUACGUGCCAGCAGCCGACGG